This 498-nucleotide ribosomal RNA is filed under the name uncultured bacterium. RNAcentral describes it as "bacterial SSU rRNA". It matches the Rfam family "Bacterial small subunit ribosomal RNA", at positions 903 to 1397 of the family's 1533-position model. The record is from RNAcentral.
AAAGGAAUUGACGGGGACCCGCACAAGUGGUGGAGCAUGUGGUUUAAUUCGAAGAUACGCGAAGAACCUUACCUGGCCUUGACAUCCCAAGAACCCUGUAGAGAUACGGGGGUGCUAGCUUGCUAGAAUUUGGUGACAGGUGCUGCACGGCUGUCGUCAGCUCGUGUCGUGAGAUGUUGGGUUAAGUCCCGCAACGAGCGCAACCCUCAUCGUUAGUUGCUAACAGUUCGGCUGAGCACUCUAACGAGACUGCCUUCGCAAGGAGGAGGAAGGUGAGGACGACGUCAAGUCAUCAUGGCCCUUACGGCCAGGGCUACACACGUGCUACAAUGGGGCGUACAGCGAGUCGCAAUACCGCGAGGUGGAGCCAAUCUCUCAAAGCGCCUCUCAGUUCGGAUUGUUCUCUGCAACUCGAGAGCAUGAAGCUGGAAUCACUAGUAAUCGUAGAUCAGCAUUGCUACGGUGAAUACGUUCCCGGGUCUUGUACACACCGCCCGU